CGACUACCGCUUCUUAGAACCUAGAAUCAAGACCAGUUUGGUAGGGCUUCGACUCCUCUAAAAAUGGCUUCGGCUCUGGCUCCUCUAGUGGAGUGGCUUCUCCUGCUGUUCCUCCUUUUGGAAAACCGUUUGGCAAAACGGCUCUUCCGUGUAGUUUAAAAUGGUUAGAUAAGAUGAAAUACGCAUAAUACCCUUUCCUUUUUCUUUUCCUUUUUCUUUUAUUCCUAUUUAU
This 232-nucleotide long non-coding RNA is filed under the name Setaria italica (foxtail millet). RNAcentral describes it as "long non-coding RNA (SITA_LNC003966)". Lineage: Eukaryota; Viridiplantae; Streptophyta; Magnoliopsida; Poales; Poaceae. The record is from RNAcentral.